UUGGGUUAAAUAUGGUUCCCGCUUCACUCCGGUUCAAAUUUUAACGGUCCAGUCAGCGACUCAGUGGACAUCAGUGGCAGCCUGCCUGAUUAUGAAAGGUAAGUAACUGUUAAUAUAAUUUUAUGAUGUAUAUAACUGUUAUAACAUUAAGUAAUGUGUGCUGAAAUGUUAAUUAAAUCCUAAAACUUUUUUAAAAUAUAAUUUAAAAAUAAUUCCCUUUAGUCAGUGUUUUUCUUCCCCAAAGAAUCAGAUUGAUUGUAAAUUAAUAUGCUAUUCCCGUUUGCUUGCUAGCAUUAAUAAAUAAAAACAUUAGCUGAAAGACUAGCAAAACUGUUUAGAGAAGUAUUACUUAACGUUAAUAAAAAUGUCUGGUGAAAUGUGAAAGGCUGGCGAAAUCUUAGGCUACAAAAGCCGCAUGGACCAUUUAUCGGAUCGGACCAGUGAAUGAAGCUGCUCGAGCGAGCUGAGCUCACACAUCAGUCAUGCGACAGACACCAGAUUCAGUGAGAAGUGUUUGAAUUCUCUGAGUUUUCUGUUAUAAAAGUUCAAAACUCAGACGAAACAGCCCAGCUAUACCAUUUCAGGAAUAAUGGAAUAGCCUGUAAUAGUCUUUUUUUUUCUUAUUAAGCUAUAACAAUUUUGCAUUUAUAUUAAAUGUGUUAUAAAUACCAAACAUGUUUAUACUUAUGUUUUUAGAUAAAUUUAUUUCUUUGUAUAGGAAAGAUUACAACAGCGGGACCUCUUCAAGAGCUUCAGUGUUUACAUCAGAACUCAGUAUUGGCCGAUGCAUGCGCGUGAUGCUGACGGAGGAGCCAGCCAAUAAAGAGUUUGCGUUCGGAUGUUGGUACUAAUAUGGUGCACUACCUCAACAAUGAGACAAGCGAGGAUCCACAUGUCUUGAUGCUUGGAGACAAAGAAAAUUCCUCCCAAGUUUUCAUCAAUUUCAGUGGAGUGGCAGUUGAAAAGAAGACCUUACUUCAAGCAGUGGAUGUAUGCUUCAAAAUGUUCUACAUCUAUGACAUAAACUACCCAAAGCCCUCUGCUCCCAUUUGGGAGUUCUUGCAGCAUGCAGUCUAUAAUAUUCCUGGAGAAUUUCCUUCUACACAUUG
This is a long non-coding RNA of Cyprinus carpio (common carp), 1109 nucleotides long. RefSeq lists it as uncharacterized. The record is from RefSeq and is a predicted model, not a curated record. The transcript is spliced from 3 exons. Lineage: Eukaryota; Metazoa; Chordata; Actinopteri; Cypriniformes; Cyprinidae.